GUGCUCGCUUCAGCAGCACAUACGCUAAAACUGGAAGGAUACAGAGAAGAUUAGCAUGGCCCCUGCGCAAGGAUGACACACAAAUUCGUGAAGCGUUCCAUAGUUAA
This 107-nucleotide small nuclear RNA is filed under the name Castor canadensis (American beaver). The record is from RNAcentral. Lineage: Eukaryota; Metazoa; Chordata; Mammalia; Rodentia; Castoridae.